AACUUUCAGCAACGGAUCACUUGGCUCUGGCAUCGAUGAAGAACGCAGCGAAACGCGAUAGGUAGUGUGAAUUGCAGAAUUUAGUGAAUCAUCGAAUCUUUGAACGCAUAUUGCGCCGGGCGGUAAUCCGCCCGGCAUGACCGUCCGAGCGUUAUUUCAACCUCUUUAGGGCCCUCGCGCCCGGUGUUGGGGGACUGCGUUAGCAGCGUAGCCCCUGGAAUUCAUUGGCGGUAGCGUCGCCGGCGUCUCCUACGUAGUAGCUAUACUCGUUGAGGGACCCGGGGUUGCGGUAGCCUAGGUCCCCUUGGACCGCCACCACUUAUUAAGGUUUACCUCGGAUCGGGUAGGGAUACCCGCUGAACUUAAGCAUAUCAAUAAGCGGAGGCU
This 387-nucleotide unclassified non-coding RNA is filed under the name uncultured Ascomycota. RNAcentral describes it as "sequence contains ITS2". The stretch from base 1 to 154 matches the Rfam family "5.8S ribosomal RNA". Lineage: Eukaryota; Fungi; Ascomycota. The record is from RNAcentral.